Long non-coding RNA from Prunus persica (peach), 2150 nucleotides. RefSeq lists it as uncharacterized. NCBI's taxonomy places the organism in Eukaryota, Viridiplantae, Streptophyta, Magnoliopsida, Rosales, Rosaceae. The transcript is spliced from 4 exons. The record is from RefSeq and is a predicted model, not a curated record.
UUUUGUGUAUGUUGUAUUUUUGUUUUUUUUUGUUUUUGUUUUGGUCAAGUGUAUUUUUGUUUAGUUCCACAUUUUUUAUAUUUCCUCUUUCCCCAUCCAACGAUCCAAAACUAAUCCCCAAAACCAGAGGCCCAUUUGACCCAAGAUAAAAGAAAAACCAGCAGGUGGCAUAGUGUUCGUUCUGAUCAACGUUGAACUUAGGAGUUCGCUUUCUCACUCCUCUCAAAUGGGAGCUCACAAUUCGUUAUCUUUUGUCACCGUCGAUGUACUUUGGAGGGAAUUUGUGUGGGGAGCUAUUGUUGUGGCAUAUGGGGAAGGAAUGAUGCAUCCUGUUGAGACCAUAAAGACACGUAUUUGGAGCCAUGCUAAAGAUGUUGUAGAUGUAAUAUUCAUGGCUAAUGGGUGAAGCUCAAACGUUUGGUUUUGUUCUAUGAAGGCUUGGAAGAUUAGACACAGUAUGGGAAGCAAAUUACAAAAUCAAUAUUUCCAUAUUGAUAGUUCUAUUGAGGGACUCAUGCUUGGUGGAUUGGCUGGUGGUAUGCAUAUCUUGCCACUCCGUUAGAUGUGAUCAUGUGAUCAAAAUAAGAUUUCAACUGCAUGGUAAGACCUUGAGGUAUCAAUUCUGUUUUUUGGAUACUUUUAUCAUUAUUUUCAGACGAAUUUCAGUUGCCAGUGUAGGACUAAAUUUGCUGCAAGCAUCACAUGCUGUAUAUGUGAUGUUAGUGUACUUAAUGUCACCUGAACAAGGCUUGGCACUUGUAUGCAGUCAGCUGUUGGGCGUGUCAAUACUAAUCACAUAGGUGCACAGAGACAAACACUAGUUAUCCUUAUAAUUCAUUGAGGGGUUUUUCACAAUUCUAUAGCUGUUUUAUCAAUGUGCCAUUUUCCAAGUUAUUUCCUUCUUUCUGAUAUGGAACUCUUUUUGUUGCAUCCUGGAUUUCAUCUUCACGGUCUGCCCCCAUUAGUGCGUUAUACAAUAGUAGUGGUAGACUGAGAGUAAAUAGCUUCUUUUCAUUCAGUAUCUUAUGGUUGUAGCUAUUAUCUCCUGCAGUAUGAUGCAGCUAUUCUUCAUACUUCAUUUGCAAGGCUUUUGGGUCACCCCAAAGCAGCUUCUGCUGUAGUACAUCUAAAGACUCUUUGAGUACAAUUAGUAGCCGAUUCAUUGCUGUGUCACACAAAUUAUUUUAAUAUUGCAGUUGCAACCUAUUAGGUGAUCUGCGGGAAAUGUUAAUUCUUGAUCUUUCUUAUACUCUUCAAAGAAUCUAGGCUUGUUUUCCAAUUUCUUUUCAAUUUUCAUAUAUAGUAUAUGUAUGACUACUUUUCAUAUUUGAUGGAAUUUGACAAUCCUUGAUAAGGUCCAUAACAUUCAUCAAUUAGAGUUGAAGGAACGUGUCAGCUGUUGUGCACGUCCACACUGAUCACAUAGGUGCACAGAUAUUAACACUGUUUAUCCUUUAUAUAAUCAUCGAGGGGUUUUCUGCGAUUCUAUUCCUGUUUUAUCAAUGUGCCAUCUCCCACCAUUUUGAUUAAAUUUCAUCACCAGAUAACAUACUAUUUUAAAUCUUGGCAACAAAGUGGUCGGGCUAUAGUCAGAAAAUAAACUUCGGUAAUUUUGCAUUGACUUUUAUUUUAACCUAAUCCUAUAACAUGUUUACCAAGAUGGGGAAGGGAAUUUUUAGAGAGCAAUUUUCCCCUGGUAUAUUCGGCUUGGGCCUCACAUGCCUGUCUUGAAUUUUUCUGUGGAUCUAUUACUCAUUGGCUGAAAGUUAGAGGUGAUAGUUGUUUUUCAGUUUCUAUCAAAUGUUGUGAAAUUUAGGUAGGAAUGGCUGGUUGCAUGCAAUUUGUUGCAUAUAGAUGGCUGAUGAUGCAUAGGGGAUGUUCAGAGGUAGCAUUCCCAGGAUUGGAGGGUUUAGUCUAGCUUCAGCUCUUCCCUUCACAGCAAUUGAAUUUUCUCAGAGAGCAUUUCAAUGAAGGAUUGAGCAAUGACAACACGCAAGAAGUUGCUAGCAUGUCAGUGGAGGAAAUACUGGAGAAUUUUCAUGUAUUUGAAUUUGGACAAGACUUUUAAUAAUGUUUUCUUGUAAGUUGUAAUACGUUGAUAUUGAGGAGGAGGUUUUUUUGUAUUAUUUAUUUUUCUUUUGAGCUUCUCA